CAGCCGCCGCGGGAAUACGUAGGGCGCAAGCGUUAUCCGGAAUUAUUGGGCGUAAAGAGCUCGUAGGCGGUUUGUCGCGUCUGCCGUGAAAGUCCGGGGCUCAACCCCGGAUCUGCGGUGGGUACGGGCAGACUAGAGUGAUGUAGGGGAGACUGGAAUUCCUGGUGUAGCGGUGAAAUGCGCAGAUAUCAGGAGGAACACCGAUGGCGAAGGCAGGUCUCUGGGCAUUAACUGACGCUGAGGAGCGAAAGCAUGGGGAGCGAACAGGAUUAGAUACCCGCGUGUCCCUGUCUCUUAUACA
RNAcentral lists this ribosomal RNA (301 nucleotides) under uncultured bacterium. RNAcentral describes it as "partial 16S ribosomal RNA". It matches the Rfam family "Bacterial small subunit ribosomal RNA", at positions 509 to 808 of the family's 1533-position model. The record is from RNAcentral.